CCUACGGGCGGCAGCAGUGAGGAAUAUUGGUCAAUGGCCGUAAGGCUGAACCAGCCAAGUAGCGUGAGGGAAGACUGCCCUAUGGGUUGUAAACCUCUUUUGUCGGGGAGCAAAAGACGCCACGCGUGGCGUUCCGAGAGUACCCGAAGAAAAAGCAUCGGCUAACUCCGUGCCAGCAGCCGCGGUAAUACGGAGGAUGCGAGCGUUAUCCGGAUUUAUUGGGUUAAAAGGGUGCGCAGGCGGAAGAUCAAGUCAGCGGUAAAAUUGAGAGGCUCAACCUCUUCGAGCCGUUGAAACUGGUUUUCUUGAGUGAGUGAGAAGUAUGCGGAAUGCGUGGUGUAGCGGUGAAAUGCAUAGAUAUCACGAAGAACUCCGAUUGCGAAGGCAGCAUACCGGCGCUCAACUGACGCUCAUGCAAGAAAGUGUGGGUAUCGAACAGGAUUAGAUACCCUAGUAGUC
This 459-nucleotide ribosomal RNA is filed under the name uncultured bacterium. RNAcentral describes it as "partial 16S ribosomal RNA". It matches the Rfam family "Bacterial small subunit ribosomal RNA", at positions 338 to 795 of the family's 1533-position model. The record is from RNAcentral.